Cyanistes caeruleus (blue tit) is the source of this 1602-nucleotide long non-coding RNA. RefSeq lists it as uncharacterized. The record is from RefSeq and is a predicted model, not a curated record. Lineage: Eukaryota; Metazoa; Chordata; Aves; Passeriformes; Paridae.
UGCAGACAUUUUGUAUUCUUUGGUCUGCUUUCCCUUGGGCAAAGACAUUCAGCUGUGAACCUCCUUCCCUGGCUCUUUGUCAUCUGGCCUGUGGCCCCUGGAGAGAGCUCUCCUGGUGCAGUUGCACUUGUGUAUCCGGCACUUUGGGCCACCACAGGGCUGUGCUGGGAAUAUUCAAGGUGGAUGAAGGAGGCCCAGAGGGCUAAUUCCAAGUGACCCAAAAUUUCAGAAAAGUUGCAAAAUAUUGUUUCAUGACAAGGUCACAGGAACACAGUUUGAGAAGAGAGAAGUAUGAAGUUUGUCUAAGAUGUGAACAUUAAGAAUUCUGCUGCGUUUCUAUGGACCCAGCACUUACUACUCCAACUAAAAAUGUGGAUGAGCUAAUUUCUUCAUCAUCUGAGCAGUUGCUUACAGUUCAUAGGGGCCAACUCUACAGCGGGUGUAAAUUGGAUGAAAUGAAGAUGAUGAAUCUGGCUGGUUGCUUUCUCUGUUUUGUCUCAUUACCUGGAUUUAGAGGUAUUGCCUGCUGCCACUCUGAGAAAGUCAGCAAGGGCCUCAGAAGUUAGACAGGAUCAUCUCCUAAAGACGCAGGAGGCAAAAAGGAGUUUGCUUGGCAAUCUCUGAUAAUACUCUGAAAGCUCUGAAAAUUUCAGGGAGGAAAGUGUCUUAGAAACAUCCAAAGGACUUCAUUAAACUGUUCUUGGGUUCUGCAGCGGAAUGGGAAGAUUAAACAAACAGAGGAAGAGCUCCAGGCCCUAAAGCAUGGCUGAUAGCAAUGAGGACAAGAGCCUUGGAAAAUUCUACACGUAUCUCUGACCACCAGACAAUGCUAAGCUCCUUCCCUCCAUCUCAGUAGGGAAGGGAAUUGACCCUGGUGCCAAGUGAGGUUGAGCAGGAGCCAGGAAAAUGUCAUAGUGAACCUCCUCAUUGUGGAAAUGCCCCCCAGCCUGAGGUUUAACCAAGGCUGCUGUCCCCAGUUGCUUUGCUGGAGAAGACCAAGCCCUAGUGAAGAGCAAUGAACAGAGAGGACAAAGUAUUAUCAGUAACUGUUUACUCAGAAAAGGCUUUCAACCAAUUUGUUUUUGUUGCAAUAAUCAACUUGGGAAGCACUGUGAUCCUGGAAGGAGAUUUUAUGGAUCAUUAAUAGAGAAGAAAUUAUCAGAGAAAAAGACUUUUCUGACAUUUUCAAUACUGUUUUCAUCAGAGCCCAUUUCACCAGCAAUAACUCUUUUACUUAUACUCUAUUUUAUUUUCAAAUCAAUGCUAUUUUCUUCACCUAACACUAAGUCCUUUACUUUGAUAGCAACUAAACAUUUCCUUUAAUGAGCAUUAGAGAUAACAAUUUUAAGCAUUAGUUGGAGCCAUCAUGCAACAAAAACUCAAUGCCAUUUAAAAACACUUAAUGCACAGGCUGACGUUUGUCAUCUCACUAAAGAGCAUAAGAUUAGAAGUGCUACAACUUAGAAAGAAAGCAUUAUCCCACUGAUGAGAUAGUGCUUUUCUUUGUACUAAUCACACAGUCUAAAACAUGUCUUUGUAUCUACUUCUUAUGUUAAAAACCCUAACAGAAUGUUCCUGCAUUAGAUGACAAAGAAAAACAAU